Molecule: long non-coding RNA, 364 nt
Filed under: Elaeis guineensis (African oil palm)
Lineage: Eukaryota; Viridiplantae; Streptophyta; Magnoliopsida; Arecales; Arecaceae
Description: long non-coding RNA (EGUI_LNC013750)
Source: RNAcentral
UUUUUGGGAGAGACGGAGCGGAUCGAUCCCUUGCACUGUUGCCUUCCCCGGUUUAUAUAGUGGAGCACGGUAUGGCGCCGUCAUUAAUGGCGCGGGCAAGUGAGGAACUGUCAACUCACUGUGGACUGUCAGGGUCGCCGUGAAAAUGUCAUGUCGCCGUGUGGCUGUCCAAUCACCAGGGUUGACAAUGCCCUCGGCGGGACAAUGCCCCUAGGUAACCGCGCCGCAUGUCCGUGUCAGAGCUGACAAGGUCUGGCGGCUGUACGGCGGUUGGAGGAGCCGACCGACCCAAAGUCGGUAGCCAGCUGAGUGGUGUCGGCCCUCCCGUUGGUCGGCGAGCCUUCCGUGAGUCGGCCAUCGGACC